UCCCUGGUGACUCAGAUGGUAAAGAAUCUGCUUGCAAUGCAGAAAACUCAGGAUCGAUCCCUGGGUUGGGAA
This 72-nucleotide transfer RNA is filed under the name Ovis aries (sheep). It matches the Rfam family "tRNA". Rfam says of the family: Transfer RNA (tRNA) molecules are approximately 80 nucleotides in length. Lineage: Eukaryota; Metazoa; Chordata; Mammalia; Artiodactyla; Bovidae. The record is from Rfam by way of RNAcentral.